CCUACGGGAGGCAGCAGUGAGGAAUAUUGGUCAAUGGACGAGAGUCUGAACCAGCCAAGUCGCGUGAAGGAAGACUGCCCUAUGGGUUGUAAACUUCUUUUGUACGGGAGUAAACUCACCCACGCGUGUGUGUCUGAAAGUAUCGUACGAAUAAGGAUCGGCUAACUCCGUGCCAGCAGCCGCGGUAAUACGGAGGAUUCAAGCGUUAUCCGGAUUUAUUGGGUUUAAAGGGUGCGUAGGCGGUUUGAUAAGUUAGCGGUGAAAUCACGGGGCUCAACUUCAGAAUUGCCUUUGAUACUGUUGGGCUGGAGUGUAGUAGAGGUAGGCGGAAUGUAUGGUGUAGCGGUGAAAUGCUUAGAGAUCAUGCAGAACACCGAUUGCGAAGGCAGCUUACCGGGCUACUACUGACGCUGAGGCACGAAAGCGUGGGGAGCAAACAGGAUUAGAUACCCUUGUAGUC
RNAcentral lists this ribosomal RNA (460 nucleotides) under uncultured bacterium. RNAcentral's name for it is "partial 16S ribosomal RNA". It matches the Rfam family "Bacterial small subunit ribosomal RNA", at positions 338 to 795 of the family's 1533-position model. The record is from RNAcentral.